RNAcentral lists this long non-coding RNA (281 nucleotides) under Homo sapiens (human). RNAcentral describes it as "HSALNT0184463". The record is from RNAcentral. Lineage: Eukaryota; Metazoa; Chordata; Mammalia; Primates; Hominidae.
CUCUGAACCUCCACUGUGGAACCACAUGGGGAGCCACAGGGACCAGUCCCACGGAAAAGCCAGGACAUGCUCCAAAAGAUGGCCCAAGGAGUAGAGACGGAGUUUCAACCAUGUUAGCCAAGAUGUUCUCGAUCUCCUGACCUCGUGAUCCUCCCGCCUCGGCCUCUCAAAGUGCUGGGAUUACAGACUCUACUCUUUGGAAGCAAGUCCCUAGCACAGCCCAAACUCACCGGUGUUAAGCUCCAUCUCAUUGAGAGGCAAGUAGCUAUAUAAAUUAUUUG